GCGCAGGGAUAGCUGGUGUGCGUGCAGCGGAAGGCGCUAACUGCCCUGGAUGUGGAGACCCGCGGACUGGACGUGAGAGGCGGGCAGGGGCAGUUGGGGCAGCUGCCCCUACAACACUGAAGAAUUGGAAUAGGAAAGAGUGUGGGGGUAGGGGACGGGGACUCUUUGUCUGCAGUUGGAAUGCGCGGAGGGGCAUGGUGGAAUGUGUCGCGUCCCGGGACCGGACGACAGGAGGCAUGUUCUGCGCUAGCACCGUGACUUUGUUCCCAGCGUGGGGACUGUGGGAGAGAUGGAGAGAGACUGGUACAGAAAUGGUGAGACAAGGAGAGAGCCAUAAAGAGGAAGACAGAGAGAAAGAAGACAAAUGCAUAAAGAGGUUCAGAGACGUGUACGUAAAGAUAGCCCUGAAAGGCGACGAAGCCCACAGAGAGAGGUGGAAGAGGGAAGAGGUAGCGAAAGAAAGGGAGAGCUGAGGAGCAAAGAGGAGUGUGGACGAUGCAGAGACCGAAGGGUGCGCAGACAAAGGAAAGGACAAGCUUGUCCAGAGAGAAUGAGAGACAAACAGAUAAACUGCAAUAAAAAGGCACCACCUUCUGGACCCAAAAGUUUUGUGAUUUGUAAAAGCAGUGAAAAGGAGUCAGGAAAAUGGGACUAAUCUCUACUUUGAGAGGGAGGGAAAGAGAUAUAGUGUGUAUGUAGAAGCAGUGAAAAGGAGUGAGGAAAAGGUUUGGGACUAAUCUCUACCUUAAGGGUAGGACAGUUAGAGGGAUAGACACCCCCUGGUGUUGGGAAAUGAGAUUUUUCUCAUUUCAGGUGACUGUGGAGAUCGAAGGCCUGGUUUUAGGGCUAGCGAACACCUUCUCCCUUUGGUUUUGGUCCACAGAAGACUGGUGAUACAGACUCCUUAUCAGUGUAAUUGUGGGGACUGGUCACCAGCUCUUGCUUGAGCUUUUCCAGAAGAAACUUCACUACUGAAAUAUUCCAAGAGGACUUGAUGCUGCCACAAAGAGAAGAGAAUGAAUAAAGUUGUCGGCUUUGUAAGAGCCAGACAAACAGAGAUACCCAGCACUAAUCAACUUUGUGGCAAAUCCCUCCACAGCCUAAGAAGUCUGCCACAAGAACAUUUUAAACCUUCCUCCAUGAUGGGCAGCAGAACUCCCUGACUAGUCCUCCAGAUCCUUCUCAAGCACAGAAUAGAGAGAGCAUGAUGGUGAGUGAGGAUACUGUCCUUCCUGCAGGUCUUCAGUUCCACCACACUCUCCUAAGGGAAGGAAGAAGCCAGGCCUCAAUGCUGUACCUCUCUCUGGAGGCAGCAGGCACAAGUGGAAUGGAAGUGAUGGAAAAUCCUGCUUUUAUGCAAAUUGUAACUAUAAACUCAUUAUAGUCAAUAUGAACAUUGUAUGGCUAAAGAAUAUCUCCAGCCAGGCAUGGUGGCUCACGCCUGUAAUCCCAACACUUUGGGAGGCCGAGGUGGGUGAAUUGCCU
RNAcentral lists this long non-coding RNA (1485 nucleotides) under Homo sapiens (human). RNAcentral describes it as "HSALNT0375674". Lineage: Eukaryota; Metazoa; Chordata; Mammalia; Primates; Hominidae. The record is from RNAcentral.